UACGGGGGGGGCAAGCGUUGUUCGGAAUUACUGGGCGUAAAGGGCGCGUAGGCGGUUGGAUAAGUCAGCUGUGAAAACCACGGGCUUAACUCGUGGCCUGCAGUUGAGACUGUCUGGCUUGAGUGUGGGAGAGGAGAGUGGAAUUCCUGGUGUAGCGGUGAAAUGCGUAGAUAUCUGGAGGAACACCGGUGGCGAAGGCGGCAUCCUGGACCAACACUGACGCUGAGGAGCGAAAGCCAGGGGAGCAAACGGG
This 253-nucleotide ribosomal RNA is filed under the name uncultured bacterium. Its description in RNAcentral is "partial 16S ribosomal RNA". It matches the Rfam family "Bacterial small subunit ribosomal RNA", at positions 524 to 776 of the family's 1533-position model. The record is from RNAcentral.